This 381-nucleotide ribosomal RNA is filed under the name uncultured bacterium. Its description in RNAcentral is "bacterial SSU rRNA". It matches the Rfam family "Bacterial small subunit ribosomal RNA", at positions 28 to 403 of the family's 1533-position model. The record is from RNAcentral.
GACGAACGCUGGCGGCGUGCUUAACACAUGCAAGUGGAGCGACGAACCGGGCUUCGGCCCGGGGCAAAGCCGCGAACGGGUGAGUAACACGUGGGUAACCUGCCCCGAUGACCGGGACAACCCGAGGAAACUCGGGCUAAUACCGGAUGUGCUCGCAGCGCAUCAGUGCAGCGAGUAAAGGAAGCUUCGGCCUCCGCAUUGGGAUGGGCCCGCGGCCCAUUAGCUUGUUGGUGAGGAAAAGCUCACCAAGGCAACGAUGGGUAGCUGGUCUGAGAGGACGAUCAGCCACACUGGGACUGAGACACGGCCCAGACUCCUACGGGAGGCAGCAGUGGGGAAUCUUGCGCAAUGCGCGAAAGCGUGACGCAGCAACGCCGCGUG